AUACGGAGGAUCCGAGCGUUAUCCGGAUUUAUUGGGUUUAAAGGGUGCGUAGGCGGCCUUUUAAGUCAGCGGUGAAAGUCUGUGGCUCAACCAUAGAAUUGCCGUUGAAACUGGGGGGCUUGAGUAUGUUUGAGGCAGGCGGAAUGCGUGGUGUAGCGGUGAAAUGCUUAGAUAUCACGCAGAACCCCGAGUGCGAAGGCGCCCGGUCAAGCCAUGACUGACGCUGAUGCACGAAAGCGUGGGGAUCAAACAGGAUUAGAUACCCUGGUAGUCCACGCAGUAAACGAUGAUCACUAGCUGUGUGCGAUACACUGUAAGCGGCACAGCGAAAGCGUUAAGUGAUCCACCUGGGGAGUACGCCGGCAACGGUGAAACUCAAAUGAAUUGACGGGG
RNAcentral lists this ribosomal RNA (393 nucleotides) under uncultured bacterium. RNAcentral describes it as "partial 16S ribosomal RNA". It matches the Rfam family "Bacterial small subunit ribosomal RNA", at positions 523 to 918 of the family's 1533-position model. The record is from RNAcentral.